Molecule: long non-coding RNA, 242 nt
Organism: Neopelma chrysocephalum (saffron-crested tyrant-manakin)
Lineage: Eukaryota; Metazoa; Chordata; Aves; Passeriformes; Pipridae
Exons: 3
Source: RefSeq, a predicted model, not a curated record
UCCGAGGGGGGGGGGAGGAGCCGCCCAUCGAGGACGUGAGGGAGGAGCUGGAGCCGCCCGAGGGCUCCAAGUCCGUCCGGAGCAUCGCCAAGUUAUGGGACAGCAGAGCGUUUGCCGAGAUCCUGCAGAAGAUCAAGGAGUACAUCAGCAAACAGCCCAAAGCCGCCGAAGUUUUGGGCCCAGUGGAGGCAGGCCUGAGUACCGAGUGAUCAUCGACGCCAACAACCUGACAGUGGAGAUCG